This 1158-nucleotide ribosomal RNA is filed under the name uncultured Microbacteriaceae bacterium. RNAcentral's name for it is "bacterial SSU rRNA". It matches the Rfam family "Bacterial small subunit ribosomal RNA", at positions 223 to 1392 of the family's 1533-position model. Lineage: Bacteria; Bacillati; Actinomycetota; Actinomycetes; Micrococcales; Microbacteriaceae. The record is from RNAcentral.
GGAUGGACUCGCGGCCUAUCAGCUAGUUGGUGAGGUAACGGCUCACCAAGGCGCCGACGGGUAGCCGGCCUGAGAGGGUGACCGGCCACACUGGGACUGAGACACGGCCCAGACUCCUACGGGAGGCAGCAGUGGGGAAUAUUGCACAAUGGGCGCAAGCCUGAUGCAGCAACGCCGCGUGGGGGACGAAGGCCUUCGGGUUGUAAACCUCUUUUAGUAGGGAAGAAGCGAAAAUGACGGUACCUGCAGAAAAAGCACCGGCUAACUACGUGCCAGCAGCCGCGGUAAUACCUAGGGUGCGAGCGUUGUCCGGAAUUAUUGGGCGUAAAGAGCUCGUAGGCGGUUUGUCACGUCUGCUGUGAAAACCCGAGGCUCAACCUCGGGCCUGCAGUGGGUACGGGCAGACUAGAGUGCGGUAGGGGAGAACGGAAUUCCUGGUGUAGCGGUGGAAUGCGCAGAUAUCAGGAGGAACACCGAUGGCGAAGGCAGUUCUCUGGGCCGUAACUGACGCUGAGGAGCGAAAGCGUGGGGAGCGAACAGGAUUAGAUACCCUGUAGUCCACGCCGUAAACGUUGGGCGCUAGAUGUGGGGACCAUUCCACGGUUUCCGCGUCGUAGCUAACGCAUUAAGCGCCCCGCCUGGGGAGUACGGCCGCAAGGCUAAAACUCAAAGGAAUUGACGGGGGCCCGCACAAGCGGCGGAGCAUGCGGAUUAAUUCGAUGCAACGCGAAGAACCUUACCGAGGCUUGACAUAUGCGAGAACGCUCUAGAAAUAGAGAACUCUUUGGACACUCGUAUACAGGUGGUGCAUGGUUGUCGUCAGCUCGUGUCGUGAGAUGUUGGGUUAAGUCCCGCAACGAGCGCAACCCUCGUCGCAUGUUGCCAGCACGUAAUGGUGGGAACUCAUGUGAGACUGCCGGGGUCAACUCGGAGGAAGGUGGGGAUAACGUCAAAUCAUCAUGCCCCUUAUGUCUUGGGCUUCACGCAUGCUACAAUGGCCGGUACAAAGGGCUGCGAAACCGCAAGGUGGAGCGAAUCCCAAAAAGCCGGUCUCAGUUCGGAUUGAGGUCUGCAACUCGACCUCAUGAAGUCGGAGUCGCUAGUAAUCGCAGAUCAGCAACGCUGCGGUGAAUACGNUCCCGGGCCUUGUACACACCG